This 688-nucleotide unclassified non-coding RNA is filed under the name Hevea brasiliensis (rubber tree). The record is from RNAcentral. Lineage: Eukaryota; Viridiplantae; Streptophyta; Magnoliopsida; Malpighiales; Euphorbiaceae.
GGUUUUAUUUGUGUUGUGAUCUAGUUAUGUUUGUUCCUAUGCUGGUUUUAGUGUGUGUUUUUCCAGGUAUUGAGUGGCUUAAGGGAGGAACCUCUGAAGAUUUGCUUUGUUUGACUCUUGCAUGUCCUUUUCUGCGACUUUGCAUACUUGGCUAAAGAAAGCUCUGCUGUCGUGCAUUUGAGGAGGAUGCAUCCCUAGGGAUUAAAGUGUUUGGCCAAGAGAGUGCCACCGCCUUGUUUAAAAGAGAGUGAGAUGCUGGAUAAGUUUUUGCUGCUUCUCUACUUAUUCCCUCUGAAUGUGCGGGUCUGUGCUUGAACAGUUCUUAGGCCUCAAUUAGAAAUGGCAACAGCGCAAGUUAGAGGCAGGAAUCGCUCCUCCCGUCCCUUGCCCCACAUAAGUUCAAGGUCGGAGCGAGGCAUUCCCCGCCGAAAUGCAGGGCUAGGCAGAUGGUCUUGGCCGAGCGAGACUGGAAGCGCUACGCUGGUUGCUAUGUCUCAGGUCCUCAACUGCGGGUGUUUUAACAGAUUGGGUAACCCUAGGGUUUUGGGGUUAGGCAGGGGAGCAUGGAGUUGGGUUUCUUGUGUUUUAGGCUUGUAUUUAUCACUAGAAAUUUUUUUUAAAGUUAUGGGGCUUUUUUUAAUCCUGUAAUCUCACCCCUUUAAGGCCAUCAAUGAAAAUUUUAUCUCAG